Molecule: transfer RNA, 83 nt
Filed under: Bacteroides pyogenes
Lineage: Bacteria; Pseudomonadati; Bacteroidota; Bacteroidia; Bacteroidales; Bacteroidaceae
Also listed under: 1 other name
Rfam family: tRNA
About the family: Transfer RNA (tRNA) molecules are approximately 80 nucleotides in length.
Source: Rfam by way of RNAcentral
GGGCAAAUACCAGAGUGGACAAAUGGGGCAGACUGUAAAUCUGCUGGCUUACGCCUUCGGUGGUUCGAAUCCAUCUUUGCCCA